This 720-nucleotide ribosomal RNA is filed under the name uncultured bacterium. RNAcentral describes it as "bacterial SSU rRNA". It matches the Rfam family "Bacterial small subunit ribosomal RNA", at positions 776 to 1496 of the family's 1533-position model. The record is from RNAcentral.
GAUUAGAUACCCUGGUAGUGCACGCCGUAAACGAUGUCGACUUGGAGGUUGUUCCCUUGAGGAGUGGCUUCCGGAGCUAACGCGUUAAGUCGACCGCCUGGGGAGUACGGCCGCAAGGUUAAAACUCAAAUGAAUUGACGGGGGCCCGCACAAGCGGUGGAGCAUGUGGUUUAAUUCGAUGCAACGCGAAGAACCUUACCUACUCUUGACAUCCACGGAAUUCGGCAGAGAUGCCUUAGUGCCUUCGGGAACCGUGAGACAGGUGCUGCAUGGCUGUCGUCAGCUCGUGUUGUGAAAUGUUGGGUUAAGUCCCGCAACGAGCGCAACCCUUAUCCUUUGUUGCCAGCGAUUCGGUCGGGAACUCAAAGGAGACUGCCGGUGAUAAACCGGAGGAAGGUGGGGAUGACGUCAAGUCAUCAUGGCCCUUACGAGUAGGGCUACACACGUGCUACAAUGGCGCAUACAAAGAGAAGCGACCUCGCGAGAGCAAGCGGACCUCAUAAAGUGCGUCGUAGUCCGGAUCGGAGUCUGCAACUCGACUCCGUGAAGUCGGAAUCGCUAGUAAUCGUGGAUCAGAAUGCCACGGUGAAUACGUUCCCGGGCCUUGUACACACCGCCCGUCACACCAUGGGAGUGGGUUGCAAAAGAAGUAGGUAGCUUAACCUUCGGGAGGGCGCUUACCACUUUGUGAUUCAUGACUGGGGUGAAGUCGUAACAAGG